RNAcentral lists this long non-coding RNA (669 nucleotides) under Junco hyemalis (dark-eyed junco). RNAcentral's name for it is "lncRNA (ENSJHYG00000003795.1)". The record is from RNAcentral. Lineage: Eukaryota; Metazoa; Chordata; Aves; Passeriformes; Passerellidae.
GCACUGCUGAGUUUUGGGAGCAAUUUUCUCCUGUCCUCAUUAAAAGCCUGUGGUUGUCCUGCCUUCCUACUGCUGCUUCCACUGCUCACAGCUACCUUUUGAGUUUCAGAAGCCCAAACACAGAGAUGAAUCUCACAAAGUACCUUUGCCUCCGGUUUCCCGGCUGUGUGGGCUCAGCUUAUUUGUUGCUCAGAGAGUGAAAUAGAUACCUAAAAUCCUGAGAAUUCAGCGAGGAUUUGCUUGUAGGGGAGUGCUGAAACAGCUGCUGAAGCUUUGUCUGGUGAGAUUUUUCCCAGCUGUCUCCCUUCCAUGUGGUUCUCUCCAGGCCUGACAGAUGGGAUGAGCAGUGGCAGGGCUGGGGGAGCAUCCCUGUGCCGGGAUGGGGCCCAUCAAGAUCCCCUUCAUGACAACAGCAUGGAAAACAUCGCUGAGACAGUGGUGUCCUCACUGUGGUGGAUGCAGGGACAGGAGGAUCAGCUCUGCCUUGUCAACGUGAAGCACAGGGAUUGCCUAAUCUGCUCUCAUUAUUUAAUUAUGUGACUGCACUGGCUUCUGGCCCUAACCCAUCACGACUGGCACUGCAUUCCUGCCCAGCCUGCAGGCACCUCCAGCUCUGGUGACUAUGGGAAGUGUGUCCUCAUAUUCUCUGCCUAUUGAGUGUGAGGGGGC